This 384-nucleotide unclassified non-coding RNA is filed under the name soil metagenome. RNAcentral's name for it is "partial contains 5.8S ribosomal RNA, internal transcribed spacer 2, and large subunit ribosomal RNA". The stretch from base 1 to 120 matches the Rfam family "5.8S ribosomal RNA", at positions 35 to 154 of the family's 154-position model. The record is from RNAcentral.
GAUGAAGAACGCAGCGAAAUGCGAUAGGUAAUGUGAAUUGCAGAAUUCAGUGAAUCAUCGAAUCUUUGAACGCACAUUGCGCCCUUUGGUAUUCCUUAGGGCAUGCCUGUUCGAGCGUCACUACACACCUUAUCACAAUAUUUGUGGUCUUGGCAGGAGUGAAUUGCUGGUCUAUGGAAGUAUUCCAGCAGUACACAAUGCUAAAAAAUAUGGGAAGGUUACCAGAUAUGAGCAACAGACUUUGUAAAUGGUUGUAGGACCUAGAUCAGUCACAAGUCAUGUCUGGUCCCUUACCUUAAGGACCCCCAUCCUAGAUGAACUAUGGGUUGACCUCGGAUCAGGUAGGAAUACCCGCUGAACUUAAGCAUAUCAAUAAGCGGAGGA